AUUGAACGCUGGCGGCAGGCCUAACACAUGCAAGUCGAGCGGAUGAAGGGAGCUUGCUCCUGGAUUCAGCGGCGGACGGGUGAGUAAUGCCUAGGAAUCUGCCUGGUAGUGGGGGAUAACGUCCGGAAACGGGCGCUAAUACCGCCUACGUCCUGCGGGAGCAAGUGGGGGGUCUUCGGACCUCACGCUCUCAGAUGAGCCUAGGUCGGAGUAGAUAGCUGGUGGGGUAAAGACCUACCAAGGCGACGAUCCGCAACUGGUCUGAGAGGAUGAUCAGUCACACGGGAACUGAGACACGGACAAGAGUCCUACGGGAGGCAGCAGUGGGGAAUAUGGGACAAUGGGCGAAAGCCUGAUCCAGCCAUGCCGCGUGUGUGAAGAAGGUCUUCGGAGUGUAAAGCACGUUAAGUUGGGAGGAAGGGCAGUAAGUUAAUACCUUGCUGUUUUGACGUUACCAACAGAAUAAGCACCGGCUAACUACGUG
This 484-nucleotide ribosomal RNA is filed under the name uncultured bacterium. Its description in RNAcentral is "partial 16S ribosomal RNA". It matches the Rfam family "Bacterial small subunit ribosomal RNA", at positions 30 to 507 of the family's 1533-position model. The record is from RNAcentral.